This is a non-coding RNA of Orycteropus afer afer, 519 nucleotides long. The record is from the annotation of a RefSeq genome assembly. Lineage: Eukaryota; Metazoa; Chordata; Mammalia; Tubulidentata; Orycteropodidae.
AUGGAGUCUGUGCUGGGCUGGGUCUUCCUUGUUGCUUUCUUAAAACGUGUCCAGUGUGAGGUGCAGCUGGUGGAGUCCGGGGGAGGCCUGAGCCAACCUGGGGGGUCGCUGAGACUCUCCUGUGCAGCCUCUGGGUUCACCUUCAGAAGUCAUUACAUGAGCUGGGUCCGCAAGGCUCCAGGGAAGGGGCUGCAGUGGGUGGCAUCGAUUAGCUAUAAUGGUGGUAGCACAUACUACGCAGAUUCCAUGAAGGGCCGAUUCACCAUCUCCAGAGACAACGCCAAAAACACACUUUAUCUGCAAAUGAACAGUCUGAAAGUCGAGGACACAGCCGUGUAUUACUGUGCAAAAGACACAGUGAGCACAAGCUCAGGGCAGACGGAGCCCCCGGGCAACACUGAUGGUGACUCUCUGGACUCCGAGCUGGAGUCUGAUGGUUGGAACCCACCCAGGGAGAUCCAAGAAGGUGGUGAGGGGACGGUCACUAACAUAUACAAGCAGAAUGAGGUUUACAUCUGA